RNAcentral lists this small RNA (2474 nucleotides) under Histoplasma capsulatum. RNAcentral's name for it is "hypothetical RNA". Lineage: Eukaryota; Fungi; Ascomycota; Eurotiomycetes; Onygenales; Ajellomycetaceae. The record is from RNAcentral. RNAcentral also lists the same sequence under 1 other name.
GAAAUCUCCCUCUACCGAAGUUCAAUUGAAUGUCCCAGUUGCAGGUUCAAUCGUGUCCCUCACAGCCCAGUUGAAGCUUUCUGAUUAGAGCUUCCAGCCAUGCCUUCAAAUCAUCCGAUUCAAGUCCGCGCAACCCGGCCAUUGUACCGAUUCGCCGCGACCGCUCUUGGAGCCAGCAUGUGGUUUUUCUUGAUGUAUCGCGCUAAGAAAGACGGUCCUGUUCUACUCGGUUGGAAACACCCUUGGGAACAUUGAAUUGAUGUUUUUUACGAUGACUCAGAGCAGAGAAAUGGAAAGGAGUAUUCCUAGAAAGAUAGAGCUCCACUAGGAAUGGAAUUAUACAGUCGUGUACAGCCCGACGCAUCGUCAGUGUCAUAGUAGUUCGAGGCAACGAGCAACUGCAAAUUCUCGAUAAGCAGAUGGAUGCUAUGGAUUGCAUGCAUUAGAGGAUAUAAUGGGUAUCAUAUUCUUUCUUUUCCUAUGGUCGCUUUCAAUAAGGCAUAAAAUCAAGCUAUAUGCUUUUGCAAAAUUCCUCAAACCCGUAUAUCUAUCCCAUUUUCUACCUCUUCUAAAUUCGAGUGGUGACAUCUGCGACAAUAUAUAAUCCUGAAAGAGGGAAGUUUAUACAAUAAGUCUAUGAUUCUUCAAGCAGACUCUUAUACCGACGCCGCUGUUUUGCUUGAUCUGGACGAAGCCAGCAAUGAAUGCGACCAACAAGACGAGCCAAUCUGGGGAAAACCAAUCGUUCCCCAAGCCAUGCGAUUGAAAAGUUAACAAGUGCUAGCCCCAUAAUCCAAAACUUGAACCAAGUAGACAUUUCGGUAAGUUGCAUGAAAUUGAAUAACCAUUUCGCUGGUUCAAAUAGCAUGUAUGAGGAGAACAUAGAUGUAACUAUGAUGGUGACGACAAAGGGUACUGCAUUUAUUCCCUCAUCAGCUUCCAGUGAACAAAAAAGAGGAUGAGACAAGAAAAUGGGAUAUAGUGAACUAGAGUAAAGGGGUUGGAGGAUAAUUCACGAACCGUUCGAAGUCAUUGGUUGCCGGAAGGGGCGCCCUACGCUGAUUACAGGGCCAGAAAAUAUAUAUUCGAAACAGGACAAAAGGAAAAGUGCCGUGUUUUGGGAAUUUUUCACGUUUGUGUCGUUGAAUUUCUUUUUCGGUGGAAUAUACCAGUCCUGGAACUGAACAGUCUCAAAAACAACGAACUGCAUUAUGAUACAAAUACCGAUUUGACCGAGAAGCGGAACUAGAACUUUGAGGGAAACUAGAUUUGAGGUCGGAGCCUUGCGGCAAAGAAUAGAGCUUGGUCCAAUCCAACCCAUAAAUAUUGCAAUGGGCAGGAUCAAGAGAAGGUCGAUAAAUAAAUACUAUUCGCGGAUCAGCAGUCUCCAAUUGGGUUUGGUACCUGACUGGGCUUACCUGGAAGUCUCCUAGAUUGGAUGCUGAAGUAUAUAGAAAGCUCACAGAAGUGAACUGGAUGGCGGAAUAUAAACUCAUAAAUUUAAAGCAACAGAAGCUUGUGACUAAGGCCGCUCUUCCUUCCCUGAUCACUUGUGGUACGCAUGAUAUAUCAAACACUCGACUGGUAAACGGGGCCGCCACUGACGCCUCUGCCUCAGAGAGAGAAAUUCCAACAUCUGCGGCCUUCAGCGCUCCGCAGUCAUUCGCUCCAUCACCACAAAAUCCGCAACAAUAAUCUAGAGACUGGAGUUUUUCGACCAGUUCAUGUUUUUCGUCAGGAGACAUGCGGGCAAACACUUGACCGCGAACAAGCAUCUUAUUUAGGACUUCCGUAGAGCCGUAAUCAACAAUCCAUCGAAAUAUAUCCCCAGUUACAGCUAUAGAGUAGUUAGGAUUGCGAUACGGCACUGACAGAUCGGUGCCACCUCGAGUAGGAAUAGGCGUCAGUGUGUUUUCAUCGAGAAGACAGUCAGAGUUUUCUGUAUUCUCCCAGCUCAGACGCGCAUUGGGGUCGAACAUAUUUCCUUCAACAAACCGGGGUACAAAGCAUGGACUCGACGCGUCUAUAAUGCCGCAUUCUCGGGCGACACUGACACCUGUCAGGAUAUUAUCUCCAGUACACAUGAUGUUUCGAAUGUGAGCUUGGUUUAGUUCAGUGAUGACACCUUUGGAACUAGGUUUGAGCUUGUUUUCGAAGACAAUGAAGCCAAUGAAUUCGAGAUCAGAUUCGGCUUCCAGACGAUGUAGUUUCUGUACCUUUAUCCAACUGAGCUUCUGGAAAUGUUUUGCUGCACAGGCAAUAACACGGAAACCUCGAUGGGUGUAGAAGCUAAGCAGAUCUUCAAAAUCGGGAGGUAAACUUUCGGGAAGACAUAUGUCUUUCAUGCAUUCAGGGGCCCCUUUUACGAAUACGAAGGCACCUGGGUCGCCAAACUGUCGAGCUAUAACGCUUGACCGACGAAGUUGGGACACGAAUUCAAAUGACCUGAGGACACCGAGCUCGAAUGGUUUGCC